This is an RNA transcript of Andrographis paniculata, 1297 nucleotides long. It is a transcript of the gene named protein FLOWERING LOCUS T-like, with no coding region annotated. The transcript is spliced from 5 exons. The record is from RefSeq and is a predicted model, not a curated record. Lineage: Eukaryota; Viridiplantae; Streptophyta; Magnoliopsida; Lamiales; Acanthaceae.
AAUGGGAUGGGAAGGGGUGGGUGUGUACUAACCACGGCGACACCUUCUCCAUCCCCUGCUCGCCCCUUCCCUUUAUAUAUAUAUAUAUAUAUAUAAAAAUACCAAGAGUGGUAUGAAUUGAACCUUUGCCUUUGAACUCUGAAUUCCCCUCCCCUUCCAUUCCCUCCUUUCAUCACUUCUUCGCAAACUCACAAAUCUGAGAAUCGCCUAAUAAGGAAGAAUUCAGAGGCAGAAUCCUUCAAUUUCAUCAUACGAUCAUCGAUCUUCGAUUCGCUUUCUCCACUAAUAGAUAAGCGGUAUGUAACUGUAACUGUAAUUGUAUUUGUAUUUUUAAUGGCGAGGGAAAGUAAGAGAGAGGCUCUAGAGGUGGGGAGAGUUGUGGGAGAUGUUGUGGAUCCUUUCACCCGAUCCAUCAGUCUCCGAGUGAUUUACAGCAGCUGCGGAGAGGUCACCAAUGGCGGCGAUCUGAGGCCUUCGCAGGUCGUGGCUCAGCCUAGGGUUCAGAUUGGGGGGGACGACCUUCGCACCUUCUAUACUCUGGUUAUGGUGGACCCGGACGCUCCCAGCCCCAGCAAUCCCAGCCUCAGGGAAUACCUCCACUGGUUGGUAACUGAUAUUCCUGCAACUACUUCCGCCACUUUUGGUCAGUAUUUAUUUAAAGGGCAAGUUUCCAUUAAAUUCCGACGGCUAUCCGAAAGCGCGCACUGGAUAAACCCCAGGCCCGACGGGAAAGUCGAACCAUGUGUGGCAGGUGACCUGAGGCGUCGGGGGGUUUGAACCCAUGGCCUCAUGGUCACAAAUCCAACCGCUACACUACCAGGCUAUGGUUCUUUUUAUGAGUUUGGAAAAAUUUUGGUUUGAGGCAAGAGAUAGUGUGCUACGAGAGCCCCCGGCCGACGAUGGGAAUCCACCGGUUCGUACUGAUGGUGUUCCGGCAGCUUGGGCGGCAGACAGUGUAUGCGCCAGGGUGGCGCCAGAACUUCAACACCCGCGAGUUUGCGGAGCUUUACAAUCUCGGAUCUCCCGUUGCCGCCCUCUACUACAAUUGCCAACGGGAGACCGGCACCGGUGGCCGAAGAUUAAUGUCGACUUCAUCGUCAUCUUCCUCGAGCUACACUUCGAAUUAAUUUAUCUCUAUAGGCUUUGCUUUGUGUUUGAAUUUAGUAUUAAAAUGAUGUACGAUAACAUAUUCUGUGAAAAAAAAAAAAUUUGAAAAAUACAAUUCUUCUUCAAAUCAUCAUGUUAUCAUUUAGGGAACAUUAUUAUUAUUAUUAUUAUUAUUGUUAUUAUUAUUAUA